UACGUAGGGGGCAAGCGUUAUCCGGAAUUAUUGGGCGUAAAGAGUGCGUAGGUGGUUACCCAAGCGUAAGUUUUAAUGGAGAGGCUCAACCUCUUCUCGCCUUGCGAACCGGGCUACUUGAGUGCAGGAGGGGAAAGCGGAAUUCCUGGUGUAGCGGUGAAAUGCGUAGAUGUCAGGAAGAACACCGGUGGCGAAGGCGGCUUUCUGGACUGUAACUGACACUGAGGCACGAAAGCGUGGGGAGCAAACA
Molecule: ribosomal RNA, 250 nt
Filed under: uncultured prokaryote
Description: partial 16S ribosomal RNA
Rfam family: Bacterial small subunit ribosomal RNA
Source: RNAcentral